RNAcentral lists this ribosomal RNA (329 nucleotides) under uncultured eukaryote. RNAcentral describes it as "partial 18S ribosomal RNA". It matches the Rfam family "Eukaryotic small subunit ribosomal RNA", at positions 1470 to 1796 of the family's 1831-position model. The record is from RNAcentral.
CCCUUAGAUGUUCUGGGCCGCACGCGCGCUACACUGAUGCAUUCAACGAGUCUAAAACCUGGUCUGAUAGGGGUGGGUAAUCUUUUGAAUGUGCAUCGUGAUUGGGAUAGAUGAUUGCAAUUUUUCAUCUUCAACGAGGAAUGCCUAGUAAACGCAAGUCAUCAGCUUGCAUUGAUUACGUCCCUGCCCUUUGUACACACCGCCCGUCGCUCCUACCGAUUGAAUGAUCCGAUGAAUAUCAUGGAUUGAGGAUGUAAGCAGGUUCGCCUGUCUUCAUCUUCGAGAAGUGAAGUAAAUCUUAUCAUUUAGAGGAAGGAGAAGUCGUAACA